RNAcentral lists this ribosomal RNA (140 nucleotides) under uncultured bacterium. RNAcentral describes it as "partial 16S ribosomal RNA". It matches the Rfam family "Bacterial small subunit ribosomal RNA", at positions 355 to 511 of the family's 1533-position model. The record is from RNAcentral.
UGGGGAAUCUUGCGCAAUGGACGAAAGUCUGACGCAGCAACGCCGCGUGAGGGACGAAGGCUUUCUGAGUUGUAAACCUCUUUCGACAGGAACGAUUGUGACGGUACCUGUAGAAGAAGCACCGGCCAACUAUGUGCCAG